Molecule: ribosomal RNA, 318 nt
Filed under: uncultured Exiguobacterium sp.
Lineage: Bacteria; Bacillati; Bacillota; Bacilli; Caryophanales
Description: bacterial SSU rRNA
Rfam family: Bacterial small subunit ribosomal RNA
Source: RNAcentral
UAGUGAGUUUGAUCCUGGCUCAGGACGAACGCUGGCGGCGUGCCUAAUACAUGCAAGUCGAGCGCAGGAAGCUCACGGAACUCUUACGGAGGGAAGUGAAGGGAAUGAGCGGCGGACGGGUGAGUAACACGUAAGGAACCUGCCCCAAGGAUUGGGGAUAACUCCGAGAAAUCGGAGCUAAUACCGAAUAGUUCUUCAGACCGCAUGGUCUGAUGAUGAAGCGCUUCGGCGUCACUUGGGAUGGCCUUGCGGUGCAUUAGCGUAGGUUGGUGGGGUAACUGGCCCACCGAAGGCGACGAUGCAUACGCCGACUGGAGA